UCUACCUCAUCGUCCCAGCUCAAAAAAAACCAGGGAUGGAUUUACAUAGUAGGGUUAACUACUUCUGAGGGAUAACUAUAGUCUGGAAUAAGAAAGGUCUGUAUAAACAAAUUCUUCCAAGAUUGUACAUACAUGCGAUUCUUUGUGUGUGUGUGUGUGUUCGAUGCACAGCCUUCUUGUCACAGCCUGGAAAACAGAGCGAUCGAUAGACACCACACUACACAAUUACACACACACUAACACACACAGAGCAAUCACACCCCUCUCAAGGCUCUUUCACAGCCCUAGCAUCAAAGCCUGCCAUUUGAAGAAGCCUGCAAGCCUGUGUGGUGCUUCCGUGAUCUCAGCCGCUCUCGGUUUUAUUCUGUAAAGGCUGCAGGGGUUGUGAAAGCACCUGUAAAUACCGGUUCGAGAUCAACCCGACUCUUUAUUUCCUCGAGAUUCCGAACGGGAACAGCGGACUGAUCUCAGAUCAGAAGCCGGGGGUGAAAACGGCAGCGAUAGAGGCGACAGGCACAAAGAAGCAGAGUGGCUGGAAGCAGCUACGGAAGGACACGGAAAUCGUCACGGAUACGAGGGAUGUGAGCGUGGACCCGACGGAUCUCCCGAUCGUCCGCAAGCCUGCGGUCAGACUAGCGAACAGACGAUGGCUCGUUUUCGGCGUGCUCUGUUCCGGGGAUAACGACGAGCAACGAAGCGACAGUGCAACAUAUGACGUGAGUCUCUCUACAGGUCCUUGCCUCUCUCUCUCUCUCUCUCUCUCUCACUCUCUCUCCUCUCCCUGCCAACACUCUCCUUCUACGGUACGUCAGAAUGCGACCUUCCGCUCGAGUCUUGCCAAACGAGGAGCGCUCAUCAGCCAUGCAAAUGAGCGUGCAUCCAUUAGCACUGACAGAUGGCCUGCUGGAGCGCUGCUGAUGGAGGAGAGGAGAGCAGAAGAGACGAGAGGGACCGUUUCUCACCCG
This is a long non-coding RNA of Ictalurus punctatus (channel catfish), 965 nucleotides long. NCBI's taxonomy places the organism in Eukaryota, Metazoa, Chordata, Actinopteri, Siluriformes, Ictaluridae. The record is from Ensembl.